RNAcentral lists this ribosomal RNA (516 nucleotides) under Salmonella enterica. RNAcentral describes it as "partial 23S ribosomal RNA". It matches the Rfam family "Bacterial large subunit ribosomal RNA", at positions 711 to 1225 of the family's 2925-position model. RNAcentral also lists the same sequence under 1 other name. Lineage: Bacteria; Pseudomonadati; Pseudomonadota; Gammaproteobacteria; Enterobacterales; Enterobacteriaceae. The record is from RNAcentral.
AGACCCGAAACCCGGUGAUCUAGCCAUGGGCAGGUUGAAGGUUGGGUAACACUAACUGGAGGACCGAACCGACUAAUGUUGAAAAAUUAGCGGAUGACCUGUGGCUGGGGGUGAAAGGCCAAUCAAACCGGGAGAUAGCUGGUUCUCCCCGAAAGCUAUUUAGGUAGCGCCUCGUGAAUUCAUCUCCGGGGGUAGAGCACUGUUUCGGCUAGGGGGCCAUCCCGGCUUACCAACCCGAUGCAAACUGCGAAUACCGGAGAAUGUUAUCACGGGAGACACACGGCGGGUGCUAACGUCCGUCGUGAAGAGGGAAACAACCCAGACCGCCAGCUAAGGUCCCAAAGUCAUGGUUAAGUGGGAAACGAUGUGGGAAGGCCCAGACAGCCAGGAUGUUGGCUUAGAAGCAGCCAUCAUUUAAAGAAAGCGUAAUAGCUCACUGGUCGAGUCGGCCUGCGCGGAAGAUGUAACGGGGCUAAACCAUGCACCGAAGCUGCGGCAGCGACACUGUGUGUUGUU